GACGAACGCUGGCGGCGUGCCUAAUACAUGCAAGUAGAACGCUGAAGAGAGGAGCUUGCUCUUCUUGGAUGAGUUGCGAACGGGUGAGUAACGCGUAGGUAACCUGCCUUGUAGCGGGGGAUAACUAUUGGAAACGAUAGCUAAUACCGCAUAACAAUGAGUGACACAUGUCAUUUAUUUGAAAGGGGCAAUUGCUCCACUACAAGAUGGACCUGCGUUGUAUUAGCUAGUAGGUGAGGUAACGGCUCACCUAGGCGACGAUACAUAGCCGACCUGAGAGGGUGAUCGGCCACACUGGGACUGAGACACGGCCCAGACUCCUACGGGAGGCAGCAGUAGGGAAUCUUCGGCAAUGGGGGCAACCCUGACCGAGCAACGCCGCGUGAGUGAAGAAGGUUUUCGGAUCGUAAAGCUCUGUUGUAAGUCAAGAACGAGUGUGAGAGUGGAAAGUUCACACUGUGACGGUAGCUUACCAGAAAGGGACGGCUAACUACGUGCCAGCAGCUGCGGUAAUACGUAGGUCCCGAGCGUUGUCCGGAUUUAUUGGGCGUAAAGCGAGCGCAGGCGGUUUGAUAAGUCUGAAGUUAAAGGCUGUGGCUCAACCAUAGUUCGCUUUGGAAACUGUCAAACUUGAGUGCAGAAGGGGAGAGUGGAAUUCCAUGUGUAGCGGUGAAAUGCGUAGAUAUAUGGAGGAACACCGGUGGCGAAAGCGGCUCUCUGGUCUGUAACUGACGCUGAGGCUCGAAAGCGUGGGGAGCGAACAGG
Molecule: ribosomal RNA, 765 nt
Filed under: uncultured Streptococcus sp.
Lineage: Bacteria; Bacillati; Bacillota; Bacilli; Lactobacillales; Streptococcaceae
Description: bacterial SSU rRNA
Rfam family: Bacterial small subunit ribosomal RNA
Source: RNAcentral